CAGCCGCCACGGUAAUACGUAGGGUGCGAGCGUUAAUCGGAAUUACUGGGCGUAAAGCGUGCGCAGGCGGUUCGUUAAGACAGAUGUGAAAUCCCCGGGCUUAACCUGGGAACUGCAUUUGUGACUGGCGAGCUAGAGUAUGGCAGAGGGGGGUAGAAUUCCACGUGUAGCAGUGAAAUGCGUAGAGAUGUGGAGGAAUACCGAUGGCGAAGGCAGCCCCCUGGGCCAAUACUGACGCUCAUGCACAAAAGCGUGGGGAGCAAACAGGAUUAGAUACCCCCGUAGUCCCUGUCUCUUAUAC
This 301-nucleotide ribosomal RNA is filed under the name uncultured bacterium. Its description in RNAcentral is "partial 16S ribosomal RNA". It matches the Rfam family "Bacterial small subunit ribosomal RNA", at positions 509 to 807 of the family's 1533-position model. The record is from RNAcentral.